This 497-nucleotide ribosomal RNA is filed under the name uncultured bacterium. Its description in RNAcentral is "partial 16S ribosomal RNA". It matches the Rfam family "Bacterial small subunit ribosomal RNA", at positions 28 to 507 of the family's 1533-position model. The record is from RNAcentral.
GAUGAACGCUGGCGGCGUGCCUAAUACAUGCAAGUAGAACGCUGAAGGAAGGAGCUUGCUCUUCCCGGGUGAGUUGCGAACGGGUGAGUAACGCGUAGGUAACCUGCCUGGUAGAGGGGGAUAACUAUGGGAAACGAUAGCUAAUACCGCAUAACAGUAGAUGUUGCAUGAUUUCUACUUAAAAGGUGCAAUUGCACCACUACCAGAUGGACCUGCGUCGUAUUAGCUAGUUGGUGAGGUAACGGCUCACCAAGGCGACGAAAGAUAGCCGACCUGGGAGGGGUGAUCGCCCACCUGGGAAUGGAGACACGGCCAAACUGCUUCGGGGGGGCGCAAUAGGGGAUUCUCGGCAAAUGGCCGAAGUCUUGCCGGACAACGCCCGCUGAGUUGAGGAAGGUCUUGGGUCGGAAAGCUCUUUUGUUAGAGAAGGAACAGAUGGGGAGUGAACUGUUCACGCUGUGACGGUAUCUUACCAGAAAGCGACGGCUAACUACGUG